RNAcentral lists this ribosomal RNA (447 nucleotides) under uncultured bacterium. Its description in RNAcentral is "bacterial SSU rRNA". It matches the Rfam family "Bacterial small subunit ribosomal RNA", at positions 329 to 792 of the family's 1533-position model. The record is from RNAcentral.
GGCCAGACUCCUACGGGAGGCAGCAGUGGGGAAUAUUGCACAAUGGGGGAAACCCUGAUGCAGCGACGCCGCGUGAGUGAAGAAGUAUUUCGGUAUGUAAAGCUCUAUCAGCAGGGAAGAAGAAGGACGGUACCUGAGUAAGAAGCCCCGGCUAACUACGUGCCAGCAGCCGCGGUAAUGCGUAGGGGGCAAGCGUUAUCCGGAUUUACUGGGUGUAAAGGGAGCGUAGACGGCAUGGCAAGUCAGAUGUGAAAGCCCGGGGCUCAACCCCGGGACUGCUUUGGAAACUGUGUUGCUGGAGUGCAGGAGGGGUAAGCGGAAUUCCUAGUGUAGCGGUGAAAUGCGUAGAUAUUAGGAGGAACACCAGUGGCGAAGGCGGCCUGCUGGACUGCAACUGACGUUGAGGCUCGAAGGCGUGGGGAGCAAACAGGAUUAGAUACCCGCGUA